UAGGGAAUCUUCCGCAAUGGGCGAAAGCCUGACGGAGCAACGCCGCGUGAGUGAUGAAGGUCUUCGGAUCGUAAAACUCUGUUAUUAGGGAAGAACAAAUGUGUAAGUAACUAUGCACAUCUUGACGGUACCUAAUCAGAAAGCCACGGCUAACUACGUGCCAGCAGCCGCGGUAAUACGUAGGUGGCAAGCGUUAUCCGGAAUUAUUGGGCGUAAAGCGAGCGCAGGCGGUUAGAAAAGUCUGAAGUGAAAGGCAGUGGCUCAACCAUUGUAGGCUUUGGAAACUGUUUAACUUGAGUGCAGAAGGGGAGAGUGGAAUUCCAUGUGUAGCGGUGAAAUGCGUAGAUAUAUGGAGGAACACCGGUGGCGAAAGCGGCUCUCUGGUCUGUAACUGACGCUGAGGCUCGAAAGCGUGGGGAGCGAACAGG
RNAcentral lists this ribosomal RNA (428 nucleotides) under Bacteroidota bacterium. RNAcentral's name for it is "Bacteroidetes bacterium partial 16S ribosomal RNA". It matches the Rfam family "Bacterial small subunit ribosomal RNA", at positions 355 to 776 of the family's 1533-position model. Lineage: Bacteria; Pseudomonadati; Bacteroidota. The record is from RNAcentral.